UACGUAGGUGGCGAGCGUUGUCCGGAAUUACUGGGCGUAAAGGGCGCGUAGGCGGAUAUUUAAGUCAGAUGUGAAAACUCCGGGCCCAACUUGGAGAUUGCAUUUGAAACUGGGUAUCUUGAGGACAGGAGAGGAAAGCGGAAUUCCUAGUGUAGCGGUGAAAUGCGUAGAUAUUAGGAGGAACACCAGUGGCGAAGGCGGCUUUCUGGACUGUAACUGACGCUGAGGCGCGAAAGCGUGGGGAGCAAACGGGAUUAGAUACCCCUGUAGUCCCU
This 275-nucleotide ribosomal RNA is filed under the name uncultured prokaryote. Its description in RNAcentral is "partial 16S ribosomal RNA". It matches the Rfam family "Bacterial small subunit ribosomal RNA", at positions 524 to 798 of the family's 1533-position model. The record is from RNAcentral.